This 447-nucleotide ribosomal RNA is filed under the name uncultured bacterium. RNAcentral describes it as "partial 16S ribosomal RNA". It matches the Rfam family "Bacterial small subunit ribosomal RNA", at positions 329 to 792 of the family's 1533-position model. The record is from RNAcentral.
UACCAGACUCCUACGGGAGGCAGCAGUGGGGGAUAUUGCACAAUGGGGGAAACCCUGAUGCAGCGACGCCGCGUGGGUGAGGAAGUAUUUCGGUAUGUAAAGCCCUAUCAGCAGGGAAGAAGAUGACAGUACCUGACUAAGAAGCCCCGGCUAACUACGUGCCAGCAGCCGCGGUAAUACGUAGGGAGCAAGCGUUAUCCGGAUUUACUGGGUGUAAAGGGAGCGCAGGUGGCAAGGCAAGCCAGAAGUGAAAACCCGGGGCUUAACCCCGCGGAUUGCUUUUGGAACUGUCUGGCUGGAGUGCAGGAGGGGCAGGCGGAAUUCCUGGUGUAGCGGUGAAAUGCGUAGAUAUACGGAGGAACACCAGUGGCGAAGGCGGAUUGCUGGACAGUAACUGACGCUGAGGCGCGAAAGCGUGGGGAGCAAACAGGAUUAGAUACCCUAGUA